GUGAACGCUGGCGGUAGGCCUAACACAUGCAAGUCGAACGGCAGCACAGUAAGAGCUUGCUCUUACGGGUGGCGAGUGGCGGACGGGUGAGGAAUACAUCGGAAUCUACUUUUUCGUGGGGGAUAACGUAGGGAAACUUACGCUAAUACCGCAUACGACCUACGGGUGAAAGCAGGGGAUCUUCGGACCUUGCGCGAUUGAAUGAGCCGAUGUCGGAUUAGCUAGUUGGCGGGGUAAAGGCCCACCAAGGCGACGAUCCGUAGCUGGUCUGAGAGGAUGAUCAGCCACACUGGAACUGAGACACGGUCCAGACUCCUACGGGGGGCAGCAGUGGGGAAUAUUGGACAAUGGGCGCAAGCCUGAUCCAGCCAUACCGCGUGGGUGAAGAAGGCCUUCGGGUUGUAAAGCCCUUUUGUUGGGAAAGAAAAGCAGCAGGUUAAUACCCCGCUGUUCUGACGGUACCCAAAGAAUAAGCACCGGCUAACUUCGUG
RNAcentral lists this ribosomal RNA (491 nucleotides) under uncultured bacterium. RNAcentral describes it as "partial 16S ribosomal RNA". It matches the Rfam family "Bacterial small subunit ribosomal RNA", at positions 29 to 507 of the family's 1533-position model. The record is from RNAcentral.